GACGAACGCUGGCGGCGUGCUUAACACAUGCAAGUCGAACGGAAAGGCCCUGCUUUUGUGGGGUGCUCGAGUGGCGAACGGGUGAGUAACACGUGAGUAACCUGCCCUUGACUUUGGGAUAACUUCAGGAAACUGGGGCUAAUACCGGAUAGGAGCUCCUGCUGCAUGGUGGGGGUUGGAAAGUUUCGGCGGUUGGGGAUGGACUCGCGGCUUAUCAGCUUGUUGGUGGGGUAGUGGCUUACCAAGGCUUUGACGGGUAGCCGGCCUGAGAGGGUGACCGGCCACAUUGGGACUGAGAUACGGCCCAGACUCCUACGGGAGGCAGCAGUGGGGAAUAUUGCACAAUGGGCGGAAGCCUGAUGCGGCAACGCCGCGUGCGGGAUGACGGCCUUCGGGUUGUAAACCGCUUUCGCCUGUGACGAAGCGUGAGUGACGGUAAUGGGUAAAGAAGCACCGACUAACUACGUG
Molecule: ribosomal RNA, 468 nt
Filed under: uncultured bacterium
Lineage: Bacteria
Description: partial 16S ribosomal RNA
Rfam family: Bacterial small subunit ribosomal RNA
Source: RNAcentral